This 433-nucleotide ribosomal RNA is filed under the name uncultured bacterium. Its description in RNAcentral is "partial 16S ribosomal RNA". It matches the Rfam family "Bacterial small subunit ribosomal RNA", at positions 29 to 507 of the family's 1533-position model. The record is from RNAcentral.
AACGAACGCUGGCGGCAUGCCUAACACAUGCAAGUCGAACGAGACCUUCGGGUCUAGUGGCGCACGGGUGCGUAACGCGUGGGAACCUGCCCUUAGGUUCGGAAUAACUCCCCGAAAGGGGUGCUAAUACCGGAUAAUGUCUUCGGACCAAAGAUUUAUCGCCUUUGGAUGGGCCCGCGUUGGAUUAGCUAGUUGGUAGGGUAAAAGCCUACCAAGGCGACGAUCCAUAGCUGGUCUGAGAGGAUGAUCAGCCACACUGGGACUGAGACACGGCCCAGACUCCUACGGGAGGCAGCAGUGGGGAAUAUUGGACAAUGGGCGAAAGCCUGAUCCAGCAAUGCCGCGUGAGUGAUGAAGGCCUUAGGGUUGUAGAGCUCUUUUACCCGGGAUGAUAAUGACAGUACCGGGAGAAUAAGCGCCGGCUAACUCCGUG